This 387-nucleotide ribosomal RNA is filed under the name Triticum aestivum (bread wheat). RNAcentral's name for it is "partial small subunit ribosomal RNA". The record is from RNAcentral. Lineage: Eukaryota; Viridiplantae; Streptophyta; Magnoliopsida; Poales; Poaceae.
AUGCAUUUCAAAGAGAACUGGACUCUGCUAUUUCCAACUUCACCAAGGCUAUACAAUCAAAUCCAUCAGCUGGGGAGGCGUGGAAGUAGCGGGACAAGCUCGCGCUGCUUUAGGAGAGUUCGUCGAGGCAACCUUGCUAUAUUUGUGCUGAUGACUUGGAUAAAGCAUUGGAAUUUGAACCAAAUUCUCCUGAUAUUUUACACGAAAGGGAUUAAUUUUCCUUUUUCUAUUCAGCAAACCAAAGAUUUAUUAUUUUCAAGCUCUUUUAAGGAUAUAGAUGAUGAUGUAGUUGUUGAAGCUUGCUCUGUUCACGAGAGUUUCUCCAUGCUUAUGAAGAAAAUAGUUGGGUUCGGAGCACCUUCGAUUGGUAUGCAGGUUACCCAAUGA